UGCAUAUGGGUAUUUUAAAAACUUGUGCAACAAUUCGAACUCAUCCGUGGUAUCGAAGUAACGACUCUAAAGACCAACAUAGUUGUAACUAAAAGCUACAAAACGUUAAAAGACGUGGAGUGCGAUGUAAAAACGAUUCUACUGAUAUUCAAGGAAAUACUUAAGUAUAAUAAACCUCCCGCCAGAAAUAUAAAUGGGAAGGUUGUUUCUGAAAUAAAGGGGGCAUCUAACGAAAAGCAUUUAUCAAAUGAAAUUAUACAGGCAAUCCGUAGUAGAAAAUUUAAUCCUGAUCAAGCAGCUAAAGAUGAUAGUGACAAUGUCCUUAUUGAGGUAAUAAAAGCUGUUGAAACGGGUAAGAGCAUUUACUAAUUUAGAUAUAAAAUUGUUUAUAUCUAAAAAAUUAACAAAUGAUUUAGUUAUAAAUUAUCUACAAAAUUAUUUGUAUUCGUGUAUGAUUUAUAUUUACAUUUGUCCUCUUAGACGGAGAUGAAAUUAGUAAUGUACGCACCGGUAGCAUAAUCAUUAAGAUCCUAUGCCCGUCCUUGACCAACUGGAUAAACUUGUCCGAGAAAUGCAUUGAUGGCAGGGUGACACAGCGGUUCAAACCGUUACAAGAUCACUUGAGAAAAAGCACAAGCUUGGGAAAUCUAACAAUAACGGUCGACAUGUUGGAAACAGAUUUUAUUAAAUCAGUCGACACGCUUGUGAAGCAGUUAUAUCCAUACAUGAUUGCUUCCUUACCUCACAACAUGGAAAUGGACCACCCAGAUGAAAUCGAAAACACAAGUGUACAGCAUAUGAAUGCCAUGUUAACAUGUCUGCUGGAAAAAUCCCAUCAAAAAAACAACCAUCAAAGAGAUGGACGAAGAGAAGGAGAAACUCUUGCAAAAUUAUAGGGAAAAGAUGCACGAAUGCGUGAAAAAAUUCAAACAAUCAAGACGUGAUGUUGCGCAUCUGUCCCCAAGUUAUGAAGGUCGCAUAGCCAGACCCAAACUUAAAACAUUUCAACAUGACGAUAAGGUACGUGUCAUUACGAAUAUCAGGGAUGAGGAAUCCGUGAACGUCACAGGGUUGAGUGAUAAAUUUGAUGGAAUUCGUCUUGAGAGCAAUCGGUUUGAGCAGGAUUGGAUCAAGAUAAAACAUGAUGGAGUUACAGAACAAUGUAACGUUCUAGACACAAAAGCGGAAUUACCACAUGCAUCUGAUACUGAGGUAGAAACAAGGAGGAGAUAUCUGCCUAAUGUUAAGAUGAAACUCUACGAAAAACAUAACCCAAAACAGGAACUUGCUGUUGAAAGCACUAUUUCAGCUGGCGCUUCUGAGAGCAAUAGCGACUUAGUGCAUACAAGUUGAGUUUGUGUUUGGUAAAAUAAUUGUUGUUGAAUUCGAAACUUUAUAUGUUGAUGGCAUGACGAAAAUGGGAUCAUAUUGCUACGCGUCUUCACACAAUCCCACUAUUGUCAUUGAACAAGUGUGUUAUCAUCAUCAUUAUACAAGCGAGCAAUCGGACCUUGACAUCUUAUUGUCGUGUCAUCCUGCUAGCCAUCGUGGUUAUGAUAUACUUUCAAAUCAGGAUAUCUUUAACGAUGACCGCAUGAUUUUUUUUUAUUUCUAUGAAUAAACCAUUUUUAAU
Molecule: long non-coding RNA, 1633 nt
Organism: Dreissena polymorpha
Lineage: Eukaryota; Metazoa; Mollusca; Bivalvia; Myida; Dreissenidae
Exons: 6
Source: RefSeq, a predicted model, not a curated record